CUAAGUGUGUGUGAAUUUCAGACUUUCACCCAGGAGAAGUAAAGGCACUCAGCCUAACACCUGAGGGGGUGUGCUCAGAGAGAUGGGAAAGGAGACAGAGGAGCAGCUAGCCCUGUAACCAUGACGGUGUUGAUGACACAGUCUUCUGUAGCAGAAGAAAUAUAAUCCUGAACUCUGAUCUUGGCUGCUUAAGUGAAAGACAUGAAGCAUUAAGACUGAAUUGAGGUUAUUUUGAGAUCGUCCGAUUCCCUGCUAGAAGUUACUGUGAGAGAUCAUCGCCCUGAACAACUUCACACAGAAUGGUCUGAAAGGUUUUUAUUUGGUGAUGGCAUGUUCAAGAACUUGGAUCAAUACAUUGUAUUUAAUGUUAGGAGAUGUUUCUAAGUUUUCAUAUUUAUAAAAGUGACUUUCAAUCUAGAGCGUCACAGUGUGCUUUCAAACUGUCUCUACAUAGUCACAACACUGCACAGAUGCACAACAAAUGCAGCCACCUCUGGGGUGGGAGGGCAACCAGGAACUACCAUGUUGACCUAAGGGGGGCUUUUGGUCAAGGACCCAGGGGCAAACUUGAGUCUUGCCAGUUGUGCCAUGCGAUGUGUUAACAGCCAUGCAGAGCAGACAGGACCUCUUUUAUUUUACCAUCUCAUCCCAAAAACAGACACACAGUAAAUGGACUGGUUCAUAGUUUAUCUGUCUCAGAAACAGGAAGAGCCGAGUCACCACGGCCCUGCACCAGUUUAGUAUGAGCUCCAGGUUUAGCGAAAGCUCCAGUAUGAAUUGAGUGAAAUUAAACAAAAGAGAAGCUUAUGCUCCACCUUACAAGCCCAGGCCAGGUUGGGAUGUGUAGGGGCUCUAUACUCACUCACAGCAGUAAAGUCAGCCACUAGAAACUUCGGGUGGAAUUCCAGCCCUGUGGAAGUCAAUGGGAGUUUUGCCAUUGAUUUCAGUAGGGCAGGAUUUCAUGCCUCCAGUCCACAAGCUUUUAAGCAUGUUGCACGUUAACCUCACGUUUAAGACCAUCCCUAUUCAGCAAAGCACUGAGGGUAUGUCUGCACUGCAGUCUUGGGGCGUGACUGCAGUUUGUGUAGACAUACCCAAGCUAGCUUUAAUUUAGGUACUAGAUCAGUGAACCCACGGUAGUGCGAGCUUUACAAGCCUCCCUGGAACCCUGGCUAAUUACUCUGGCAGCUAGCAGAAGCCCACACCACGCUUUGAUUCUCCUAGCUGCACUUCCGUGUCGCUCGGGUGUGCCUGCGCGAGCUGCAAUCACACUUGAUAAUUGCAGUGUAGACGUACCCUUAAUCACGUGCUUAACAGCUUUGCUGGGACAGGGCCAGAAUUGGCCCGAUAGUUGUCACGUGCAGAGUAAUUUCUGGUGUAAUGCUGAAUCCCUACCACACUGCAAGUGGAAAUUAUGUGAGCACAGGUGAGAAAAUGAACUUCAUGAAGGUUGAUUUUAGGGUUCCUGCACUGUGAUCAAGCGUCGUGUGCCAUGAUCAGCAUCGUUCUGACUGCACGGGAUAGAUAGGCCUGUGUAGUAAAGAUGAGGAGAAAACCGAAAACAAGCCCUGUGUGCAUUUCUUGUAGGGGUGUGAUUCUCCCUCUGUUGGUAGCCUCUCUCCCUCUCCAUAGAACUCUUUUUUUUUUUUUUUUUUUAAAGCAACUUUUCUUUUAAAAAGCCUAUUAAAGGCUACUUUGAUAUUUGAGUUUGGUUCGGCCGUAUAUAAGAAACGUAUACGGUCUGCUGCCUCAUAGCCCCACCGAGGUGCAAACUGCUGUGAGAUUCUGACGGGAGAGAUUUUCAUUGCUGAGCCUUAUAAAAAGGACAGCUCAAUUAAAAGCAGAAGUCGCAGGUUUGGGGUGGGUAUCUAGGCUGAUAAAGCUUCUGCUGAGAUUUCUGAACUUAAAGAUAGAGAUGACCUCGUAUCCCUUUCUGCCAGUGCAGAGUUAUUCCACACUGUAUCUGUUUGAGGUCUUUGUGUAAUCCAGUUUCACAGGUCUCCAGUGAUUGGGUUUCUACAACUUCCCUUAGGAGACUAGUCUGUCGUCUGGCUCCCACUUCAGAGUUUUACGUGAUGUUAGACACCAUUUCCAGUUCCAUGAUUCAUCCCGUUUCUUCUUAUAUCAAUAUAAAUAAUGCCUCUUCUUUGUUAGUGUUGAUGGCUUUCAGAGACAUGGAGGCUGUUCCCAUGUUCAUGCCCUUAGUGUGGAUUCAGCCAAGCUAUAUGUCAUUAAGCUCCAAUCCUGCGAACACUUACAUGCAUUACUUUCUACGCACGUGUAGUCCCAUUGAGCUGUUGAAUGGGACUACACAUGCACCUAGUCACUCACAUGCAUAAGUGUUUGCGGUAUCAGCUAGUGAGUCCAGCAAUACCCAGGUUCAAGGAAAGAAGAAAGUUAUGUUUGAGUUUCCCAUGCAGCCGCAGAAUGUUUAAAUUGUCAGUCCUGAGCCUUUUCAAAUGCACAAUUGCAUUUCUAGUCAGAUUGAGUUUGUAAAACCAUUUUUUGUUACUUUAAGCCCCCAAAUGUAG
Long non-coding RNA from Trachemys scripta elegans, 2531 nucleotides. RefSeq lists it as uncharacterized. The record is from RefSeq and is a predicted model, not a curated record. Lineage: Eukaryota; Metazoa; Chordata; Testudines; Emydidae. The transcript is spliced from 3 exons.